Molecule: ribosomal RNA, 842 nt
Filed under: uncultured bacterium
Lineage: Bacteria
Description: bacterial SSU rRNA
Rfam family: Bacterial small subunit ribosomal RNA
Source: RNAcentral
GCUCAGGACGAACGCCGGGGGCGUGCUUAAAGAUGCAUGUCACGGGGGCCCACCGCUGGGCAACCGGCGAACGGGUGCGUAACACGUGAGCGACCUGCCCCGGUCAGGGGGAUAGCCGGCCCAACGGCCGGGUAAUACCGCAUACCCUUUCCGCCCCGCAUGGGGUGGCAAGGAAAGCUCCGGCGGACUGGGAGGGGCUCGCGGCCUAUCACCUAGUUGGCGGGGUAACGGCCCACCAAGGCGACAACCGGUAGCUGGUCUGAGAGGAUGGCCAGCCACAUUGGGACUGAGAGACGGCCCAGACUCCUACGGGAGGCAGCAGUGGGGAAUCUUGCGCAAUGGCCUAACGGCUGACGCAGCGACGCCGCGUGUGGGAGGACGCCCCUCGGGGUGUAAACCACUGUUGCCCGGGACGAACGGCCUUUUUCGAGAGGCGUGACGGUACCGGGUGAGGAAGCACCGGUUAAUCUCCUUGCCAGCAGCCGCGGUAAUACGGAGGGUGCGAGCGUUGUCCGGAAUCACUGGGCGUAAAGGGCGCGUUGGCGGUCCGGUAAGAGUGUGGUGAAAGCCCGGGGCUCAACCCCGGGUCGGCCCUGUGAACUGCGGGACUGGAGCACAGUAGAGGCAGGCGGAAUUCCGGGUGUAGCGGUUGAUUGCGUAGAGAUCCGGAAGAACACCGGUGGCGAAGGCGGCAUGCUGGGCAGUAGCUGACGCUGAGGCGCGACAGCGUGGGGAGCAAACAGGAUUAGAUACCCUGGUAGUCCACGCAGUAAACGAUGGGCAAUAGGUGCUUGGGGGAGCGACCCUCCGAGUGCCGGCGCUAACGCAUUAAGUGCCCCGCC